CAUUACAUGUUUAAAUGAUUUUUGGUGCUUUGAAUUUUGUUUAUUUAAAAAUCAUUUUGAGGAAGAGGUGUUUUUAAAAAAUUUUUCUUUGAGAAAAGAGAUAAUUGAGAUUCAUGAUUUGGAGAGAGAAAAGGUGUUUGAACAGUGUUUAUCUUCACAAUCAUAUUAAGUUAAAUUCAUAUUAAUUAUCGUCUUUACUCCACUAUUUAUUAUUUUGACGAUAAUUUAUUAUAUGAUUUCUUAUAUCAUAAAUUCAUCAAAAUUUUGAAAUCAAAUUUAAUUUUUUGGUGAUUAAUUCAUCUUGGUUGUGAGUGUUGGAUAUGAUGGAUGGAUAUUCUCUAAUAGACUAAAAUUUGUCAAAUUAUUUUCAACUGUGAGAUUGUCUAAUUUAGGGGGAGUUUGAAAUUGUUUAAAAAUAAAAAAAAAGGAGAAAAAGAAACUCCUAUAUUCAAAAGAUGUGGAAAGAGUUACAUCCUAAAAGGAGUGUGAAAACUACCACCACAUGUAGGAAAGAGCUACCACCCCGGUCGUCCGGUAAGUGUGUGAAGCUACCACAUGAAGAUUGAAUUGAGUAACCGAAAAAGGUUGGAAAAAAAAUAAAUAUUUUAGAAUUUUCGGAGUUAUAAGGUGGUAAGAUAAAAAGAUGCUCAAAGAGCUACCCCCAGUAUCAUAUUAGUUAAAUCUCUAUUUUGAACGUGUUACGACAAAUUGGUGUCAAUUUUUGUUGAAUUUCUAAAAAUCAUUUUUCAUCAACUUACAUCUUGAUGGUUUUGAAUCAUUAAAUUAUUUUUGAUAAUGAAAUUUUGAUGUUUUGAUGUAUUUUGAAAUUUUAUAAUAUCUUAUUGUCAUUAUAAUGAUUCUUGGAGUAAAAGCCUUAAAUUAUUUGAAAUUAAUUUAAUUUGAUGGAUUUUUAAAGCAAAUUUUUCGAAAUCUGAGAUUCUUUGUCGAGCUUAGUCUCUUUCUUUCACUGCAUUUGAUGUUUAGGACGAUGUUUUUGAUUUGCUUGUUUAUCUUUCUGUAGUAUGUUUUUACUUUUAUUUUAGGCCUGUAACUAUGACUAGACUACUCUUAUGCUUUCUAGUAUGUUUUCUCUCUUUAUUUGCUUUCUUUUGGCAAUUUUUGACAAAAAGGGGGAGAGCGUAGAUGAAGGGGGAGAGCAUGGAUGAACAGGCAUUUCAUUGAACUGAAGCAGAGGAUGAUGAGUUCAAGGACAAAUGGGGAGAUGUGAACAAAGGGGGAGAAGGUAUAAGAAUUUAGUGCUAAUCAUUUUUUAAUGAAUUGUUUUGCAGGAAAUCAAGACUUCAAGACUCCUAGUUGCGUCUAAGUCAUAGAGUCUGUUUUAGGAGUUUUGAUGUAAUUUUGAGUUUCAAAUUGUAUUUGGAUUACACGCGAGGGGUUCGAUGUUUUGGUGAUGACAUUGAACUUCGUUUUUUUUAAAUUGUAAUUUGUGAGUUUAUGUGUGUUUUGUCACGAAAUUGCAAAAGGGGGAGAUUGUUAGGUCCUAUGUGUUGGCAAGUUUCGUGGGUCGAGUCGGAGUCUUGAAGAAGUCGGAAGCGGAGUAUUGAAGAUCAAAGAAUUCAAGACUUCAAAGAAUCGGAAAGGACGCAAAACACGCAAAACAUGAAUCACGAUGCGUAGGUAAGCUUUAAAUCUUGUUUAUGGUGAUUCAUACUUNCACCCAUCCUAGGACUACUCCCGUCCUAGCAUGCUUAACUCUCUUAACCUCUUCGGCCUUGCCACCAACCAAAAUGCUUAAGCCGGGUUAAGAGUUUAGCCCUAUUAUAUCUUAUAUAUAGGACUAUCUGGGGUCUCACAAUCUCCCCUCCUUUAAGCCCUGACGUCUUCGUCAGGCUCAGACUCACAAAUACCAGGCGAUGUGAGACUCAUCUCGCUAGCCUGUUAUCCAGACCCUAGCUUAGCCGAGACUCAUCUCACACUUCCGGCUGGUAAUUGGCUCUGAUACCAACUAUGACGCCCCGACUUCCCAGGGGGUCACCCAUCCUAGGACUACUCCCGUCCUAGCACGCUUAACUCUCUUAACCUCUUGGGUCUAGCCACCACCCAAAAUGCUUAAGCCGGGUUAAGAGUUUAGCCCUAUUAUAUCUUAUAUAUAGGACUGCCUAUUAUAUCUUAUAUAUAGGACUAUCUGGGGCCUCACAAUACCUCUAGGGUACUAGGAGGCUAGAGGACACUUUCGUUGGAGCAAACGAAGGGUUUCGUUUACCGUUGGUGGGUUUGACUUCAUGAAAAUGGGACAAAAUGGCCCCUAUGCUUUCUAAACUCUUCGUAAUGUUAGGUCCUAUGUGUUGGCAAGUUUCGUGGGUCGAGUCGGAGUCUUGAAGAAGUUCGGAGCGGAAUAUUGAAGAUCGAAGAAUCCAAGACUUCGAAGAAUCGGAAAGGAUGCAAAACACGUAAAACAUGAAUCACGAUGCGUAGGUAAGCUUUAAAUCUUGUUUAUGGUGAUUCAUACUUAAUUAUAGAUUUUAGAAUCAUGUUUUCAAGUUGUAAUUGAUUAGAAAGUUUCUAAGAGUUUAUAAAAUCCAAAACAAUGCAUUUUCAGCGAAAAUUGCAUUGCUGUACCGGUACAAGGUUUUUCUGUCCAGGGUACAGCCAUCAACGUUGCGCAGAAAGUUUGAUGGUUGUUCCGGUACAAGGAUUUUCUGUCCAGGGUACAGCCAUCAACGUUGCGCAGAAAGUUUGAUGGUUGUUCCGGUACAAGCUUCAUGCUGUACCGGUACAAGCCCUGUUCCGGAACAAGCAACAGCCUAUCCAGGGUACAGGAGCUUCGCAGAAAAAUCUUCCGUCAUGGUGUACCCUGGACAACAUUUCUUGUUCCGGUACAAGGUGCUGAUUUUGGAAAGAAACUUUCUAAUUCGACUCCAAUUGAUUCUAAAGUCUAUAAAUAAGCUAUAGGGGUUCUCUAACACAUCAAGCAUCACGAAAAUACAUAUUUGAGAAACCCUAGAGGCUCGGAUUUAAUCUUAAACCUAUUUUCUACAAAAAGCCUCUUUUAGAUCAAAUCGAGAUAUUGAAAUUUGAUAUUAAUAUGUCGAUUUGAUCUCCGCUUCGCUUGGAGUUCUAUUCCCUGGUUUUCUACAACACUCCAAAGCGAAGGAUCACCAUAUUCAUGAUAUUCUUCAUGGUGGCGUCGUGGAUUCGGCGUAUUUGACGGCGGUUCGUGGAUUCGGAUCGUGGGCUCGUGGAUUCGAGUGGCGUCGUGGAUUCGGCGUGAUUGAAGCUUCGUGGAUUCGAAGUGAAGGCGUUCGUGGAUUCGGACGUGAGGGCGUGGACAACCCGGAGGGUAGCGCGAAGAUUCAUAGGAGGUUAAGAGAGGUUAAGUCCGUGGAGUCGGUAAUCACCUUGUAAUCUUUUCUCUUAGUGAAUUGUUUUUUCGCGUGUUGGUCCCGUGGGUUUUUCUCCAAGUUGGAGUUUUCCCACGUAAAUCUCGGUGUGCUUUUUAUUUUCCGCAUUUAUUUUUAUUGCAUCGAGAUUUGUGGUUUUUGGUCGUUCACCUAUUCACCCCCCUCUAGGUGAUAGAUACAAUCUAGAUAGAUCCUUGGGCUCCUCAAAACUUUCACACGCCCCGCCCAGAAACCACUACCAAUUUGGCACGAUUCGGGCCCGGCGACAGACCGCCGAACGGACAGCACCUCCCCUGUCCGCCCAAGGCUCACAACAAGAAUGUGUACAAGAAUUUACCCAGGAAUUUAAAUUCUAAGCAUACAUAUUCAACAGGGCAUAAAUAGUGCCAGCAACUACAAGGAGCAAGUAAUCCACAAGAUAAAGUAUGUGAAAUAAAGAGAAUACUUUACUAGAUAUUACAAUAAUUUCAUUACAUCAUUUUCUUUAAUGAUUAUAUUUUUCACCCAAAAUACAUAGCUCUCCAAAUCCUCACCUACAAGAAAUCUCUCUCAAUACAUAGGUGUACUAAUGCACAAAAGGGAAGCUACUAUACUACCACGGUCUCACUGAUCGGGCGCGAUGCCCUUGCCGCGGUCCUCCCUCGGCAACCCUGUACCUACCACUGGAAAUAGUGUGAGGUGAGAACUAUCUUCCAUAGUUCCCAGUGGGCUCGGCCGCCGACUCUGCCGAUCUCCCCACUAGGUCUAAGUGGGCACAAGCAACAACAGAUAGAUAGGUAGAUAGAUAUCUGAAAGCUGUAAAUACGAUAGUAGGAAAACUAUCGUAUAUGCCCAUAAUCAUGAAUAUGAAUGCAUGCAUCAUGUAAUAAAGGUUGGCUAUCAUGCUAGCAAAUUCGAUCCAUGUUCGAAUAGCAAUAUUCAAUGACAUUUUUAAACCUUUAACCUUUCAUUUACCCAAUCUGUGGCGAUGCCCUAGGACUCGCCUAUGACUCACCUUUCAAUCCCAAAGUGGGGAGGGAGCUCCAAGUGCACCCAAGCCCGGGACCGUCUGCGGACCUCCAUGUGGUCCGGACCUCCAAGUGGUCCUAGUCUCGCGACACUCCGGAGUACUCGACGACAAUCCCCUCCAUGUGGGGAUAGGAUGGCUAUACCACCCCAAACGCAGACUGUGAGCUAGAUCUAUCCUCUCCAAGUGAGGAUGCCCUACAUCUAGGGUCAACAACCCAAUCUAAUCCUCUCCAAGUGAGGAUGCUCUACAACUAGAGUCAAGAUUUCUCGCGGGAUCACAUGUUCCCAACACUCAUGCAAUGCUAUUUAGCUUUUCUAAAUUCAUUGUUCACAAGGCAUUUUCUAAGGGAUCCGCCUACCCCUAGGUCCAUCGACCUCUAGUGUCAUUUACACUACAUUAAUGCCACUUAUUAUCUUUUAACAUUUGGAUGCCACUCGUUUGUUCUUUGACAAUAACACUACUUUCUAUGUCAUCAACACCCCCAUCAGGUUCAUCUCUAUCUUUAGCAUCAUAGGAUCCACGUUCCGACCCAAUUCUCACCUAUCUAAGUUACUAAGCGUUCCAAGUACACUAGGUUAUCAAUUAGAAGCAUAAGGAAUAGAGCUACUAUGCAAUCCUACAAUGCAACAUGUAAGAGAUGACAUUAAAUGCAAUCUAAGACAUAGAAAGGAGUUCGAAAGCUUCGGGAUGGCACCCCCCACCUUUAAUCGAUGUAGAGGCUUUAGAAACAGUCCUCGGCGAACGCUACGAAAAGGCUUUAGCUUCUUUGCCCAACCCAAUGCAAAAUCGGCCUUGUUUUGCAGAUAGCUUCACGCCGGCUCGCCGAAUGCUAAAACCGACUUCGCCCCCACAUUUUGUGACCUACCAAUAGGGUUUCCAAGGCUUCAAAUGAGAUCAAUCUCAUGUUUUCACAAAAAUCCCAUUUUGGAGCCCUAGGUUCGCACCCAUAGCAAACCACCCAAUGAAUCCCUAGAUUCUUGGGAUUGAUCUACUUAGAAGCAUGCUUAGGGUUCAUUUGACCCAUUCCAAAGCAUCAAAACCCAAAAAUCCUAAGUUUCACAAGCUAGGGUUCAAGAGCUUACCUCUUGAGCUACACCAAAGAGAAGAGGAGAGGGAGAUGAAGGUGUCCAAGGCCUUCUUCUUGAUCUCCUUCUGCUUCUCCUUCCUUUCCUUCUCCUUUUUUUCCUUCCUCUCCUUCUUGUUCUUCUUCUUCUCCUUUCUUUCCUAGAGAGAGAGAGAGAGAGCAAGAGAGAAAGAGAGAUAGAGAGGAAAUGAGAUGAGAGGGGCUGAGGGAGAGGGUUAUUUCCCAUAUUCACCCUUCACAUGGUGGCCAUUUUGCACUUAAACCUCUCAACUUUUUAUCUCUCAAACAGUUGUCGCUGGGCUGUUUUCGCGCGGAGGGACCGGUCUCCCCGUCAUGGGACCGGUCCCCGAGAGCAGCCCAUGCUACCAGGGGCCUUUCUCGCGUUCGGGAACCGGUCUCUCCCUGGGAGAUCGGUCCUCGGGAGACCGGUCCUCACCUGAGAGACCGGUCCCCGAGAGCCCAAUUUUCAGGACUUAGCCAAAUUUCGGCAUUUCUCGCUGGGAUCACGUUCGGGAACCGGUCCCUCUCCACCAGGGACCGGUUGCACCAAGCAACCCCGCUACACCCAGCCGAGGGAACCGGUCUCUCACCUCCAGAGACCGGUCCCCGCGAGUAAUCUCAGCCCAAUGAUACAGUUUGCACCAUUUGCUCUUGUGGACUCAACUCCAAGGCACUUUUGUGCUUUGGACAUCUUUAACUUCUCCAAAGGGUAUUCUCUCGACAAAUAGUCGAUCCUGGAUAAAGUACAACUCUCGGAUUUCGAGAAUUCACUUCCUUACAAGCUAGCUCAAGUAUAUCUUGAUGAGGUGGUGAGACUUCACGGGGUUCCGAAGUCGAUCGUGUCGGAUUGAGAUCCCCGGUUUACUUCACACUUUUGGAAAAGCUUGCAAGAGGCACUUGGGACACGACUCGAUUUUAGUACCACGUUUCAUCCUCAAAGCGACGGUCAAUCGGAGAGGACAAUCCAAGUUUUAGAGGAUAUGUUGUGAGCGUGUGUCAUUAAUUAUCGAGGCAGAUGGAAUGAACACGACCUAUGGCCGAGUUCGCCUACAACAAUAGCUACCAAGCGAGUAUAGAGAUGGCACUGUUUGAAGCUCUCUACGGGCGGAAGUGCCGAUCUCCUAUACAUUGGAGUGAGGUGGGUGAACGGGUAGUUUUGGGCCCCGAUGUGUUGCGAGAGGCGGAGGAGAAAGUCCUCCUUGCUCGCCAAAGGUUGUUGACGGCUCAGACGAGGCAAAAGAGUUAUGCAAAUAAACGCCGUCGAGAUCUAGAAUUCGCGGUUGUAGACCGCGUCUUCUUGAAAGUUUCGCCCAUGAGGGGUGUGAAGAGGUUUGAAGUUCGGGGAAAGCUUAGUCCCCAGUAUAUCGGACCGUAUGAGGUAUUGGAACGGAUUGGUGCGGUGGCUUAUCGACUUGCAUUGCCGCCCAUGCUUCCGGGAGUUCACAAUGUAUUCCACGUGUCUAAUCUCCGCAAGUACGUUCAUGACCCCGAGCAUAUGCUCUUGUUCGAACCGCCCAAGCUUCAAGAGGAUAUGACCUAUGAGGAAUUCCCGGUGUUCAUCAUUGCUCGAGAGGUGAGAAAGUUACGGAACUGCGAGAUUCCGUAUGUUAAAGUCCAGUGGAGCAAUCACGAUGAUUGGGAGGCUACUUCGGAGCUCGAGGAGGCGAUGAGAAAGCGUCAUCCUCAUCUUUUCGAAUAUUUGGAUUGAGGUACGAGUUUCUAUUUAAAUGCGUGGUGUUUCGCGGAUGAAACUCCUUUUAAGAAGGGGAGGAUGUAAGGUAAUGGAUCCUCAGCACGUGCAAAAUCGAACUUGGGUCGGAAUUGACCGAAAUGCGGAGUUGAUAGCUUCGGAACGCUUUGGAAAAGUCUGAAUGCGUUGGAAUGGCUUUAAGGGUGUUAAGGGACCUUAGUGAGCAGCUGGGAGAAAAUUCUGCAAAUUUCGCAAUUGUGGUGCUCACGGGGUCCGGACCCUGAACUACGAUGCUCACGGGGUCAGAACCCUGUGCAGGGUCCAGACCCCAUAGGCGAAACCAGCCCAGUUUGGGCAGUGUGUGAAUAGAGUUGUUUGGGGUGUUAAGUGCAAUUGUGUGCAUAUGGGAGUGUAUAUGAGUGGGUUUUAGCUCAUUUCUCUCCCUCUCCCUCACAUUUGCAACCAAAGAACACUCUCUUUCUCUCUCUAAGAUCUCUCUCUCUCCCACGGUGGAACCAAGAGGAGAAGGUGGUGGAGAUUAUGGCUUGAAGGUGGAGCUUCUUCCUCUUCUUCUUCCUUGGCUCAAGAAGGAAGCUUGUUGAGGUAAGCUCUUUGAGCUCUAAUGGUAGAUUCUUAGGGUUUGGUUUAUAUACCCUAGAAUUGGAUCUAGAUGGAACCCUAGAUGUUGUUAGGAUGCUAUUUGCUUGAAUCAAGAGUUUGUUUAGUGUAUUCUUGCAAAUAGUGGAUUCUAGGGUUUGGUUUGGGGUUUUGCCAUAGUAGGGUUGGAUCUAAAUUGACCCUCUGGAAACUCAAUUGAAGGUAAAAUCGACAUGGUGGGCAACUCAAACGGGAGUUCCUACGGGCGUGCGGCGAGUUCUUGAGAGAAAGGACCAUUUUCGCUUCGUUUCCAUCGGAUAGAGCCAAAGCGACGUCUAAAAAUCAUGAAACUAGAAUUCUCACACCUCGACAGUGUUUAGAGGUGGGGGGUGCUAUCCAGAACAUCCAGAUUUCCUUUUAUGUCUAUGUUGCUCCUUUGGCCAUUUAUGUUCAUAUUAGCAUUCAUGCAUUGUAGAGUAAGUUGUUGCUUAUUCCACUCUUUGCAUAUUCUCAUGAGGUUUGUAUAAAAAUGAGAUGGAACAUAAUGUUAUGUGCAUGAGGAUUGGAUGUGAACAAGGGACUCUAUAGUGGCAUGAUAAAGAGAACUUGGACAUCGUGGCACUGGCGUUUGAUAUGAAAAUGUGGAAUUGUGACAUUGUGGCAUUAGCUAGAGAUAUUGUGACUUGUGGCAUUAGCGAGAGACAUUGUGACAUUCUGGUAUUAGCUAGAGACAUUGUGACAUUGUGGCAUUUGGCUAGAGACAAUGUGAUCACUCAAGAAAUAAGGAUUGGGAUUAGUAUUUUACCGGAUUUGAUUACCACUAGUUGGUAGGGUAUCCUUGGGUUGGAGGAUUGGAUCAUGCUCACAUACGUCUGUUUUUGCUUAGCAGUGGUCACUCCACCCAAGCAGUGGUCUUCGGAGUACUUCACGGUAGGGGCUAACGUAGCUGUCCUGCAGACAGUCCCGGGUGAGUGUAGCGGACAUCUCCUCACGAUGCGGGAUUGGGGUGUGAGUAGGGGCUCAACCUUCGGGUGAGUCGGAAUGAUUGGGUGAUGAAAAGGUAAAUGGCAUGCAUCAUGAGUAUAGUAGUUGCUAUUACUUGUUUACCUUACCUGUUUAUUGUUUCAUAUGUUGAGGCGUAGUAGCAUGCUAGAUGAUCAUUAUAUUGCUAACCUAUCUACUUUUGCCUGCUUAGACCUAGUGGGAAAAUCGGCGGCGUCGGUAGCCGAACCCACUGAGAACUAUUUGUUAGUUCUCAUCCCACUUUGUUGCAAGGCCUAGCGCGAGCGGACAGGUUGAAAACCGCGGUAAGGGUAUAGCGCCCUAGGUAACUACCUCCUAUGCAUUGGAGUCGAGUUCCAUUUUGUGAUAUGAUGUAUAUUGGUAGAGAGACUUUAUGUAUUUGGGUGAGGUUGCUAAAGAUGUUCAUGUAUUAUGAGAAGUAUUAUAAACCAUUUGUAUAUUUGAUGGUUGAAUGAUGUAAAACCAAGUGGAAACAUGUAAAAAUGGUUGAAUGUCAAUGUAAUAACUAGUUUCUCUCUAACUCUCGCAUGUAUCAUUACUUGCUUGUAUCAUGUAUGUUGUUCAUGUUUGUUUCCUGGGCAACUAGAUGUACAUGAUCGUUCGUUGAGCCUUGGACGGACAGGGGAGACUAUGUCCGUUCGGCGUCUGUCGACGCGCGCGAACCGACCAAAUAGGCGAUUGCGGGGUGUGACAAUAUGUGCUAUUGCUUGCCAGCCUCCAUAGCGGCACUAGAGGGGAGCAACCCCUACCUUGUCUAAUAGCGUGUAACCCUGUCAAGCUCCAUGUGGCUCUGCAGGCUAUAAUCCUAUGUGAGAUCAAAAGAUCACGAGUGACUAAUAUCAUGUUCUCAGUAUACUAUAGACUACUGCUCUAAUACACAACUUCUAACACACAUCUUGCAACAAGUGUAUUGUAACUAAGUGAACCAGACUCUAAAAUCAUGCAUACUAUGUCACUCUACCCCUUCGGCCUAAUCAACAUGUGUAAACAAUAAUUUUCCUAUGUAUUGAUCAUAACUAACUUAGAUAGGUACUCGCAAAUAGGAAUGUUCGAUUUCUACUUUUCGAUAGAAUUUACACUGACAAUACUCUCUAUGAACAUGCAUAAAAUAUAGGCAUGUAUUUGCAUCGAUGGAGACAUAGUAGGAAAUUCGCCAUUUUCAGCGACUCGGAACCCACCUCGAAUUGUUAAUCCAAUAACGGUCAAAAUCAACCUCCAAGGCAUCAAUCCUCGGCUCACUUCUUUUAGGAAUCCACUAAGAAAACUCUGAUAUCAGUGAGGGUGCUAGCAAGGCAAGAUAGAACUAAAAUCCGUUAAUUCAGGAUUCGGUGAAUGAAUACCGGAUUUUGUCGAAAAUUAGUCAAGUAACCUCACAAUCCAAUAGAGGUAGCUCCAAGACAACCAAACGUGCUAGAGGAGCUCGAGAAAAAGCCAAAGCCGGGGUAGGCAUCAUAGUCAUACCCACAAAAUCUGAGAGAGAGACGCCCACAUUGCAGUCGUCCAAGCAGCCACUACCGAAACCACGAGCUGCAUUCUAGCAGCCUCCGCAACAGCCGCGACCGUAACAGCUCCCUAUGCCGUCUCCAUAAAGACGCUCGCAGCAGCUCUCGUGCUCUACAUAGGCAGUGGGGCCUGGGCAAUAGCAGCUGAAUCGACAACAUAGACCCAGUAAGUGCCGUAACCUGACCCGUUAAGGCCACUACUUACCAACAAGUGGCUAUACCUGGUGAAUCUCACCUUGCCGCUAGAUGCCAACUUGGUAAUCCACCACGACUCUCGGUAGAAGCACGAGUCUGCACCAACAUUGUAAUACAAACAGACGUAAUAAAUUUACCAUAUACCAGUAGCACCAAACACGGCGUAAUAAGAUAAGUAUAUGCCUAGAGAUUAUUAAAUCUCGACCCAAAUACUGCGACUUAAUUCUAACAACCCCGCGCUCUCACGUGCCUAUAAGCCUUAGGUUACCUAUGGGUCAUCAUAAACUAUAGUUGAUUGUGGUUCAAAUUUUCUCUGAUACCAUAUUAAUCUGUCACGCCUCAAGGUUCUUUUUGGAAGUCCUUCUUAGAAAAACUAGCGAAAAACAUGUAGAUUUUUUAAAAAAACAUCUUUGAGAACACCCCGCGAACGCACAAAAACCCAUCACAUGGACAAAAGAUUCCCUAUAUAAAUGGACAAAGUCUCCCCUGUACAUGGACGGCGUAGUACUAUAAUAUAAAAUCAACCAAAGAUACAACCACACAAUACAAAUAAUAUAAUGAUCAUAUGAUAACGAUAAAUUACAUACGUCCAUUAUAGUUAAACAUUAAUAGGUAAUGAACUAAACUAAUACAGCGAAAUGAUAAUGAAUAUUAACAAUGAACAGAUCUGGAACACGGCUAUCUAGUAUCGUCCUCAUGCACCGUCCCAACCCUCAUUGCCUGCGUCACCUAAAAAAUGGUGAGGGGCAGGGGGUGAGAACAUGUAAACAUGUCUCCUCUCCCAGUGGGUACCGCAAGACGAUGAAAGCAAGGCAUACUCACCUGCAAAAGGAAGAGAUAACCAUAAUCAUGAGCAGGUAUCAUAUGGAUAGUAACAAUGAAAUGAUAAUUGGCAAUGAAUGCUAAAGCACUGCUACUAUAAGUAGAAAAUGACAACUAGGCAUAAUCGACAAAUGUAUCGAAGUAGUAACAACGAUGGCUAGGAAGAAACUACAACAGCCAAUCAAUAUAUAACUAUCUAUUACUGCAACAAGCAAUAGAAUACACCAAUGCAGCAAAUGGGUGAAUAAUGCCAAUAACCAAGCCAACUAUCGUAUUGGCCAAAAGACUUUAGGCUAAACCACAUCCUACUCGCCCACCUGGCAGAUAACCCUAACAGGCACUUCGUAGGGCUCAUGGGUCAAAUGUACGACUACUUUUCUGGAAAAGAACACCUUUUGGGUUGAUCAGACCACUGGUGUACAUGAAAUUCUUACGAGCUGUGGUGAUCGAUGCAAUAUGAACAAUAGCGACAUCGGCAAGUAGCCGAGAGAAUAAUCCAUAAGGAGUCGCGGACCAAUCAGGUCAAUCUCUAUCUAAGAGUGCCACUGACCAUCAGGUCAAGUAAUGUCAAGUCAUGCGAUAUACCAAUAGAAGUGUCACCAAACGCAAGGUCAAAAAAUAUUAAAUCAUGUAACACACAAAUAGGAGUGCCACCGACAACAAGGUAAACUAAUGUCAUAACAUGCAAUAUACAUCUAAGAAUAUUAGUAACCAUAUGGUCAACUAAUGUCAUAACAUGCAAUAUACAUUUAGGAGUGUCACAAACCAUAUGGUCUACUAAUGUCAUAACAUGCAAUAUACAUCUAGAAGUGUCACAGACAACACCGUCAACUAUUGUCAUAACAUAAAAUAUACAAAUAGGAGUGUCACUGACCCCACGGUCAACUAAUGUCAUAACAUGCAAUAUACAAAUAGGAAUGCGACCGAUAACAAGGUCAACUGAUAUCAAGGUCAUCUACUAUAAUCAUACAAUAGAUAACGUCUCAAUCACAAAAGAACACCGCUCUAACACUAAAUCAUGAUAAUACGAGACAAAAGCAACUGUAGAACAACUAGCUAUGAAGUCAAGUGGUGUACGAAAGCUGUACCGAUAUCAAGUAAAUGAAAGGAGAUGAUAGGGACAGAAAUCACCGAACAGGCACCACUUUACCAACUUCGGAUCGAAAUACCCACCUCUACCAUAGAAUAAAACCCGAUUGUUGGGACCUAUGCAAAGUCCCAUCCAAAAUCAAAAUUAGCUCAAACCCACUAAUUACAAAAGCUAUGAUUCCAUGUGAAUACAAACAAGUGAACAAUCAAUUUUUCGAAUCUCGUUCCACGGUCACUGGAAGAUCGCCCGAUAGUCACACCGACUCGUUGGAACGUCACCUCCACCUACGAGGUGUCCCAAAUUGAGCCCCACACUUAUCCUACCUCACCCACUAUCCCAACAUAUAAUUUUAAUGCUAUUGGGGCAAUUGCACAAGUAGUGCGCCAAAACGAAAAACUAAGAUCCCGAAAAUCACCGAUUUGGCUUCGGGAAUGUCCAUUUUAGCACUGGAAUCACCCACAGCCCUCACACUGCGACCAGAGGUGUCAAACCUUGUCUUAACACCAGCCAAUAAGGUUACAACACCACUACAACUAGCAGCAGUAAGCGCGAUACGAAACCGCUCCCGAGAUGACACAAUUUUCAUAUUUUAGGGUCCGGAACUACCCUGAAGUUUUUGAAACACUCCGAAAUUCACUCAACCAUCCCCCCUUGUCCCAAAACACUCACUUUUGUGAGUCAGGACAGCCGCACACUAUGUGGUACGAUCUGGGUGCGAAAUCCUUAAAAUCCACUAUAUUUGGUUCUCAAAAAUCAUCUAUUUAGCUCCGGAACCCACUAGGGCCCAUCGUUGGUCUGAGCUUUGCACCAGCGAAAUCCAGCCAGCCAACGAGGCUUCCCAACCACUGUAACAAGCAGCAAAACCCGUUCUGCGAGAACGGAUUCAAAAAUCACCUAUAUUAUACACAUAACCCACCAUUUACAUGCUCAUCAACAUGAAAUCCCAAUUGAGGGAUUCCUGGACUUUGAAUAUCAAGUACGAACCAUUCAUGCAAGAAACCAUGCUAUCCGGGACAGUAAUGACACAACAAGUGUCAUUGUGGCAUUAAGUCGAACACCCGGCGCAUGAUAAUAAUAGAAUAAUUCAUUGUAUAGAAAAUUACCAUCAAUUCCGUGACUUCAGAAUGCAAGCGAAGCUAUAGUCCAGAAGGUCUCACUGUUCUGGACAUCGUUCUCACUGUCCGGACUGAAUCUGAGCAUCAUGGAAGAAGUUGGAGCAACAAGAAUCGUAGCUUUCAUCGUCUCCAAGAGCGACAUCGUGAGAACAACCAUUAGGGACACAUCUAGUUGCAAACAAAGAGAGCACUGCACUAUAGAAGGGCUCCUAAAGCUAUGCUUUGCUGUCAGAAGAUUGCCGGUGGCCAGAUGUGUCGAGAAAGAGGUAUCAACCCGAGCCAAUCCUAGCCGCAACCUACAAAAUAAAUAGUAGGCAGUAAAGACUCCCAGACUUUCGUACGACCUAGGAGUGGUUGACGCCGACCAUAAUUGGUGGUCUCGACAAGAGGAGACCCUUAGGUACGAUGGCCGGCGGUGGAGACCAACGGCGGUGCCAGAUUUGAAGACUUGGCCAUACCAUCCUUGAGCUUGGGCUCGGGCUUGGGCUCAAGCUCGGGGAGGUCUGGGGCAGUGGCUAGGCUGAGAAGGGGUCGUCGGACUUCUCCCCCGAUGGUUGCAGCGGCGGCAGUCGCAGCAGAUCCAAGUAUGGGAGAAAACCCGAGGAGACAAAGGUCGGUGAUGAGAGAGGAAGAGGGAACGAGAGAUAGAGAGGGAAACCCAGCCAGGGGCUCGCCGCUAGCUAAGGGGAUCACCGAUGGCGGGGCACCAUGCAACGGCGACUAGGAGAGAGAGGAGAGGGUAUAGUAGGGUUAGGGUUACCCUAGGGCAUCAUUCUCUCUAUACACAUAUAUGUAAACCUACUCAUACAUGGUAUAAAAAAUAGUUUAGUCGAUCAAACCAUCCUAUUUUCUUCUCAGCCCCCUCCAUGCACCAGCACAAGCACUUCGCGCAAAAGUACCUCUCCAAGCGAUCUCUCACGGUUUGCUGCAUAAAAUACCGCAUUAUAUACAAAAAUAUCCUGGUUCCAAAACCCUUCCUCUAGAUUCAAGUCUGUGCUAUUUUGCACAGGAGACCCACAAUUUUGCGAAACAUGAAUCAGCACAUUCCCCACUGAGUGUACAAUCAAUUGAGCCCAUACACUUGCCAAAACUCUACAAUUUUAUACAUAAAAUGAUAACCUCUUCCCAAAGAGUUUCAUUUUCACACUUUGCAAAAAUUACAAUUUAGCCCUCCAACCUUAGAGUUUCAUAUUAAAAAUAACAACUGCAUGUAAAAUGCCAAAUGACACCAUCUCAUGGAUUUUCACACAAAACGGAGUAUCGAAAAAUUCUAAAAAGCAAAAACAUCGAGUAGAAAAAAGCCAAUCUGUGAUAAUAAUAGAUUUUCUCGAAAACUAUGCAUCAAACGUAAAAUCAAACAGUGCCAUUACUUCCGGCAUAGUCGAACCAUCGAAAAUGAUCUAUUGGGUCAUCCAAAAUGAAGUUUGAUUCACAUUCGAAGCCAACCUGAAGUCGAAGCCUCAAAAUAAAAUCGGAUUACUAUUCAUUUAAGUGAAUAGUAACAGUCACCAUACACCUUUAAAUAUAAACUAGUCUUUCACCGAUAUUAAACCAAUAAAUUCCAACAUUAAAAUAUAUGUACAACACUACUGAAAAGUACCAAAUUACAUUAUAAAAAUCUCAGUCCUCUUAUCAUCCCCUUCUUAUAAAAUUUCGUCAGCGAAACUUGACUACAGCCACCGUAAUCAAAUUUGGAUACCGUUCCACUAUUGGUUUCACCUUCGAGAUGAGGGAAAACGUACCAACCCUAAACCUACAGACUAAAAUCCACUGGGUGCACCAUCCACUAACCAGCGAAUUAUGACAGUACCGUAACCUGGACUAUCCGAUCUCACACCUGCCAAACUUGGGUGGUAAAAGCUCACUGUAAAUAUCGAAUCUUCGAGUUAUGAGGCUAACUUUGAUCGAAUUGAUCAAAGUGAGGCUUGAGCAUGAUGUGCGACAUCCCCAAGCUGUUUUGGAGGCGUGGGGAUGGUUAGAAGUGAGUUUCGGGAUUGUUUAAGUAUUUUCGGCGCAAACCGGGCACGAAAACGAACCCUAGAGCAUUGCUGCUGUCAAAAGGGCCAAAGUAACACUGAGUACCGAUACUAGAGCAAUGCGGUAUCGGUACCCAGUCAGAGCGUGUUGGUAUAGCUCUCGGGAUCCGGACUGUAUGAGACUGUAUACUGGUACUGUACACUGGUACCAGUACUAGACUAGUCUGGUACCGGUACUGGGAUGGUGUACCGGUACCCCAGGUCGCAAAGCCUUCGGGUUUGGAGGCUGUGUACCGGUACUAUACAUGGGUACUGAUACUGGAAGCUCUGCGUACUGGUACUCCAGCCCGAGUACCGAUACCCAGCCUGAAAAGGAUUGAAUUGUAAUAGAGUAAAUUGGGAAAUAUGAAAUUUUUAAGUGCAAUUGUGGGGCUCCUAUAAAUACCCUAACCCUUACACCUAUUAUUCCCAUGCAUGAAAGGGAGCUUUGUUCUUAUCUCCUCCUCACUCUUUCUUCUUCUCUCUCUAGAGAUUCAUCAUCAAGGUGGUACUUGAGAGAUUGAAGAUAAAAAUUAGUAGAUUUGGUAGAGAAGAAGCUCAAGGGCAAGGAGGAUUUCGUGAAGCAAGAACCCAAGGUAAGCUUCUUGCAUUUCUUGGUUAGGGUUUGAGUUAAAUAACCUGAAUCAUUAGGUUUUGUAGUCUCUAGGAUUUCUAGAGCUUGAUUAUGCAAUGAAACCCUAGAAACUUAGACUAUAUUGGGUAUCUUAUACCCUGGAGUAAAAGUGGGGCUUUAUUAAAUAUGAGAUCUAACAUGGUUUUGAUCUCUUGUAGCCCUAAUUAAGGAGUAAAUCGACGCGUUGGGAGGGUCGGAUCGAAGUUCUGACGAGUCUACACAGAGUUAUUAAGGAAAAUCCUUAUUUCGGCUUCGUUUGUCGUGGGUCGAGAGGAGCGGUCGUCUAUAAAUCGCGGAAUGUGGUUUCUCACACUUCGGCAUCACUACAAGGUGGGUUGUAACAUACCGAAGUUCUAAAGUCAUGAAGUUACGGUAUAUGUUAGCUUGGAGGAGUUAAAAAUAAGUUUAAAAGAGGUUAGAAAGGUUUUGGCAUCGACCGGCGCGAAAUAGAGUCGAGUCGGAGCCAAAACAGCAUUCUGGGCAAUGAGUGCCGGUACAGCAAAGUGUACCGGUACAGCAUUGAAAGUGUACCAGUACAAAUGCUACGAAACCGAGAAGCAGCUCUCGGGUUUUGUCUCUGCGCAAUCGUGUUAUCGGUGACACGAGGAAGUGUACCGGUACACUUUGUGCAGACAGCACAGAUUAGGUCUGCUGCAAAUAUAAGUUGAUGGAGGGCUUAUUUAGAAAUGUUGCACAUUAUAUAUGCAACCAAACCCCUUCUCCUUCAUAGCUGCCCUCUCCUCUCCCAUUUUCUCUCCCCCUCUCUCUCUCUAGAAGCUUUGCACCGAGGCAAAGGAGGAGGAGAAGAAGGCUUAUUGAUGGAUUUUUGAGGGUUUUGAAGGAUCAAGAAGCUCUCCUUCAAGGUGGUCUUGGAAAAGCUUGGGCUAAGGUGAGUUGUUUUGUAAGAAUACAUCUAGGGUUUAGAUUUUUACCCUAAAAUCUAGUGUUUUGAUCUUCUUACAAGCUUUAGAACCUUGUAGAGGCUUGGAAAUACAUGAAACCCAUGUGUUCUUCAAGGUGCUCUAAUGAUAGAUUUCUAGGGUUUGUUCUAAAAGCCCUAGGGAUGGUUCGAAUGGUUCUAAAUGAAUUCCUAGAUGUUGAACAAGCCCUCUUUUGCUUGUUCCAGAGAUCAAAACUAAGGAUUGGGAUUAUGGCAUUGUUAGGGCACCCAAAUUGGGGCUUUUGUCGUAGAUGGGUUUAAAUGUAAAUUAACCUAUACAAACCUAAUUGCUAGCUAUACGAACACGUUGGUGAAGUCGGUUCGGCGAUUCGUCGAGCCUACGCGAAGUUAUUGAAGAAACGGACCGUUAAAGCUUCGUUUCCGCCUGGAGGGUCGAGGCAACAUCCUAAAAUCAUGAAAACGGAAUCGUAGGCUCGUGGCAACUAACCGUAGACCUUUAAUUUUCGGAUCGUGGAUUGGAGGCCGUUCGGGUGGUCGCGCGAGAGUUCGGGCCAAACUGGGUCACGGGUGCCGCGGGAGGCCGAUUGCAAGUGACUACAAGCAAUCGGAGUGCGAAUUGAGGUGGGUUGUGUUUACCGAAGCGACUAGGUCGCCUGUAUGUCUAAGACUAGUGCUUACUAUUGAUGCAUGUAAUGGUAGCUAGUGGUAGAACAUAUAAAUGCGUAAGGUGAAAUGCUAUGUUAGGCUACCAAAUAAUGCAUAUGGUCAUAAUGUGAGAAUGCUAAGUAAUGCAUAAUGACAUAGUGUAAAUAAUGUUAAUUGGAAAGUAUAAAGUAAAUGACAUAUGUUAGUCAUAUUGCAUGUAUAGAAAUGCUAAUGUAAGAAUGCUAAGUGAAUGCAUAUUGAUAAGAAAUAAGAAUGCUAAAGAAAAUGUAUAAUAAGCAGGUUGUAGAGAUGCUAAUGUAAAAAUGCUCAGUAAAGGACAUGUACUUGUGGACAUAUACAUAUACACAUAGAUCGAGUGGCAUUGAACCUAGAGUCGUGAACCUAGGUUGAACAAAAGUGAUAUUGAACCUAGUGUUAAUGAACAUAGGUUAAACAAGAAUGGCAUUAAACCUAAUGUUAGAGAACAUAGGUUGAGAUUGAAUCUAGAGUUAAGUCAACCUAGGUUGUGAGUUAAAGAUAAUGAACCUAGUUUUAAAGUAAACCUAAGUUAUGUGAUAAAAGUGUUAAACCUAGAGUCAAGUGGAUCUAGGAUGGAAUGGAUAAUGGACCUAAGUAGGUCGAUACCAUAGGGUUAAGACCAACCCUUGAGUUAUGUGGAAAUGAAUUCCGGAAUCCCAGAGCUUAUGGAACACCCAAAGUGGUGUUGGGCGUGUGUGACGAUUUUGCCGUCCGGGGCUAUACCAUCGACGUGGCGUGUGCGACGAUUUCGUCACCGGAUGGGUGAGCUGAUUUGUGGCCUAUACCGGUUGAGCCGGGUUGUGGAUCAUAUCGCUGGUGGACUCGAACCAUCGACAUGGCGUGUGCGACGAUUUCGCCCCCGGGUGGCUAGGUCAUGGACCGCGGUGGGCUGUGGUUGGCUGAGGUGCUUGUGAGAGUUCCUUCACCUUGAGCCGGAGACAGCACGGAUUAUCCGCUGUUGAUUGACUCAAGACCGAGUCGAAUGGCAUAGUGUGGCUAAGGUAAGAGUAACCUUAGGAAAGAGCAAAGAAUGUGGCAUAGUGUGGCUAAGAUAAGAGUAACCUUAGAAAAGAGCAAAGAAUGGCUAAGAAUAAGAGUAGAAUUAAAUUAAUCUACUUAGUUGGUUGUAUAGAUUUCAUAUUGCUAUUGUGAGGCAUGACAUGUAGUUCAAUAUCAAAUAAAUGUAUAAAUAUUUGUUGUAUAUUAUUGGACUAACCUGUUGCAGUGCCUCAUUAGAUCUAUUGGUUGAGCUUUUCCCUUGGGUGGCCGUACCCACUGGGAAUCAUGGAGUUGGUUCUCACCCCACGUUAUUUUGGGGUGUUACAGGUACACACGUGAGUGGCGCGACGGCGCGAGGUAAGGCCGUAACUCCGUAGAUAGCGCCCUACCCCAGAGACCAGAGGUAGCAGUACUCCGAGGUGGUCUAGCGUAGGGGUUUAGAGAAACAAAGAACAAACUUGUAUUAAGUGAUGUAAUAAAUAGAUUGUAUUUGGAAGUUGAAUGUAAAAGAAAAUUGUGAUGUAAAAGCAUGUAGUAUGAAUAUUGUAAUAGCAUUAGUUGUUUUAUGUUUUUGAUACUUCCUUAUGCAAUCUUUGUUUGAAAUGUAUUCCUAGAUGGAACUUCAUACAUUGUAUUGAUUGCGACGCCUAGGACGUACAGGGGAAACUCUGUCCGCUCGGCGGUCUGUUGGCGUGCCCGAACCCGACCAAAUAGGCAGGGCACGGGGCGUGACAUGGGUGGUAGUCUUGAGUAUCUAUGUAUGUGUACACUGAAUUCAUGCAUUAUAGGGUAAAUGUGACACAUGGUUCAAUUGUAUGCUUUGAAAGUAAAGGACAUGUGAACAAUAGAUGAUGAACAUAAAAACCCUAUAGAUGUAUGAACAAGUGUUGAACUAUGACAAUAGUAAACAAAGUGACAUUGUGACUAGACGGCAUGAGUAGCACCAAGUAAUGUGAAUGCUAGACAAGGAAAAAUCAUGUAUGAACUUGUGGCAAUUGUGGCAUUUAUAAUUAAGAUGAAUUGGUUAGCACCUAGAAUUGGAAAUACUAGAUAAAGAGAACUUGUCAAGAUUGUGGCAUGGUAUCCUCCAAGUGAGGAUUGGAUCGUACUCAUAGGUAGUCUGAAUGAUCGAGGUAGGUUGCUCCACCUUAAGCGGUGAGCUCUGGAGCGUCAUCAACUGGGUUGGUAGUGGAAUUCUCCCCAGCAGACGGUCCCGUCGGGUUGUAGCGGUAUUCUCCCCGACAAAAGUGAUUUGGUUUGGUGAGUUGGGGUUAACCAAAUGGUUAACCAAGUUGAUUGGGUAAUGGUAAAAGUAGGAAGCAUGCAUCAUGAGUAUAUUGUUUCCUUCCAGUGGUAUACAGGCAUUCUAGUAGCAUUAGUUUUGGUUACUAUAUCUUUUUUCUUUCCUACAUAUGCCUGAGUACACCUAGUGGGUGAGUCGGCAAGGUCGGCAGCAAAACCCACUGGAAACUUUCAUUAGUUCUCACACCACUAACCUUGCAGAUCCUAGCGCUUGCAGGGCGGUCGAGGAUUGCGGCAAGGGCAUCGCGCCCUAGGUAGCGGGCUUCCCUCGAGUUUAGAUUUAUACUAGUUUAGUUUCAUCUUUUUUGUAUUAUGAUGUAAAGAAAUACAUAAAUGAAACUAUGAUGUAUGUAUUUGAGGACAUGUGAUGUAAGUUGGCAAAUGGAUGUAAAGAAUACAAUGAAUUAUCUAGCUUUGUAUUUUGUUUAAAGUUUGCAAGAUACAAUGGAUGUUGUAAUAGUAGCUAGUUACUUUCACUUGUGCUUGUAUUGCUUGCCCUCGUGCAAGCCAUGUAUAAUGAAUUUAAUCCUUGGCUAAUUCUUUAUACAUGAUGGUUGUUGUUGGUUGAGCCUUGGGCGAACAGGGGAGGCCCUGUCCGUUCGGCGUCUGUGGACAUGCCCGAACCGAUCAAAUUGGCGGUCGUGGGGCGUGACAGAUAUAAUGGUAUCCGAGCAUGAAAGUGAAAGUAUAGGAUGGACCUAGGGACCUUAGGAUUGGAGACCUUAAGGACUAUAGGACACAUGUAAUGUACUGAAACUCCGGUAGAGUAUAUCGAACUUUAGUCAAAUUGACUGAAGUGCGUGAGAGAAAUGUUUGGACAAAGUCUAUUUAACAUUCCAAUAAUGUUGGAAGGGUUAAAGUUGAGUUCCAAAAGAGUUAGAAAGGUUUUAACAUUGGUCAGCGUGAAACGGAAUUUAAACAAUGCAAAACUGAAAUUCUGGAGCAUUGGUAACCGGUUACAGCCUUGGAUGGUACCGGUACCAUACAGCUGAGAGAGAGCAGCAGCUCUCGGGUUAGCCUCUGCGCGACGGUGUAACCGGUGACACCCUUGGCUUGUACCGGUACCAAGUCAGCUACCCGAGAAGGCAGCUCUUUGGUUUGGCUGUUGCGUAAUCGUGUAACCGGUGACAAAAUUUGUUUGUACCGAUACGCAGUGUCCCGAACAGCAGUUUUGGUCUGCUGUAAAUAAAAGAAAAUUGAGGGCUUGGUUUCAAUUGUAGCAACUUAUAAAAGACCCCAACCCCUCUUUUCUCUUGUUCCCAGCUGAGAACACUCCAACUUCAUUUCACUCCCUCUCUCUCUCUAGAAACUCUCUCCCAAGGUGCAAAGAGGAGAUCAAGAGGAGGAUUAGGAGAAGAUUUGGACUUUUGGAUGAUCUAGAGCUCACCUACAAGGUGGAGCUUGUUGAGUUCAUAGACUAAGGUAAGGUUUCUUGUGAGAUUGAGGCUAGCGCUUGGUUUUGUGCCCUAAACCUUUUGGUUUUGAGCUUCUUACAUGAAAAGAAAUCUUGUAGAGAUCAUGGAGCCCACGAAACUUCAUGUUUAUCCAUGAGCUCUCAUGGUGGAUUUCUAGGGUUUGGUUUAUAUACCCUAGGAAUAGUUCAAAUGACCUAGAAAUAGUUCUAGAUGAGUUCCUAGAUGAUAGAUAAGCUUACUUUUGCUUGUCUUAGAGAUCAAACCAAGGUAUUGGGCAAAUGAUAUUGUUAGGGCACCAAAAUUUGGAGCUUUUGCCCUAGGUUGGUUUAAAGGUAAAUUGACCUUGUAGAAAUCAAAUUUGGGAUAUUUCUAACCCGUUGGUGGACUUGGUUCGCUAAUCCGACGAGUCUAUAUAAAGAUAUUGGGAAAAAAUCCUAAUUUGGCUUCGUUUUGCCGCAGGCGAGAGAAUAGGAGCCCAAAAAUCACGAGAUUUGAACUGUAACACCUCUACAACUAUGCGAGGUGGGUGGUGCUUUCCGAAAUUAUUAGAUUUCCUCUCAUGUCUAAAGUGUCAUUUUUGAGCAUAUGUAUGUAUAGUAUCUUCAUGCAUUGUAGGGUUGAUUGAGAUAUAUUAUUUGCAUGCUUGUAGUAUAAAGAUGCAUAUAAGAAUGUUGAACAAAGUGGAAACCCUAUGUAUGCAUGAAUGGUGACAAAGACCUAGAUGAGGUAAAGAACAAAAUGACAUUAUGACAUAUGGAUUGUGUGGUAUUAGUAAACACAUAGAGUGGCAUUAAUGAGUUUUGAAUGCUAGAGUUGAACACUUAAUGUGUGUGGCAUUAAUGAAUGCAUGUGAAUGAGUAUAAAGAACAUGUAGUGUAAGUGACACUAAUGAAAGUUAAAAAUGCAAGUAAAGUAAGAUAGUUGGUAUUAUGACAUAACAACCUUAAAGUUAAGGGUCAUAUGAGCAUUGCAUCCUUAUAGUGAAUGAUUGGAUUGAACUUGGUAUCCUUAAAGUUAAGGAUUGAUCAUACUCGCCUAUAAGUCUUGGCUCGGAGGGUGGUAGCUCCCCCUCGAGCGAUGAGCUCCGGAGUGUCAUCACAGGGUUAGUGUUGCCCAGAGGACAGUCCCGUCAGGAGGAAGCUUAGGGCCCGAUAUUAGGGAUUUGGUUGACAAGUCUGUUGAUCCCGUCGAGAGGAAGCUGAGGGCCCGAUAGUAGGGAUCGGAAUUGGUAAGUUGUUGGUUGAGGCGAAACCUACAGGUUAGCCAAAAUGACCGGGAAUUGAAAAGUGGAUCUUGUAUUCAUCAUUAGCAUUCUAUUUGAGUAUAACAUUGAUUAUAUUGUUCAGACAUAUUAGCUGCAUUUGUUUAGUUGGUUACUAUCUAUCUAUUAUUCUAUUAUGUCUGAUUUAGACAUAGUGGGAAAGUCGGCGAGAUCUGCGGCCGAACCCACUAGGAACUUUGUUGUAGUUCUCAUCCCCCCUAUUUCCACAGAGCCAGGACUGAGUGAGCCGGCCGACGAUCGCGGUACAGGUAUCGCGCCAUAGACAGUGACCACCCUUGUUGGUUAUAUUUUGUGUAGUUGCAUACCCUUUUAUAUAUCAUCUUUUGUACUUUGAUGAUUCUAGUUGUAUGAAUGAUGCAAAUGUUUAAAUGAAAGAAUGUAAAGAGUUCUAUUUUAGGAAUAUGUGAUGUAAAAAGAAAUGAUGCAAAAGAUGUAAAAGAGUACAAAUGUUGAAUGCGUGUACGUGGUUAAAAGUUAAUCAUAUUACUUGUAUGUUGUUUAGUUAGUACUUUCACUUUGGCUAUUGCUUGCCCUCGUGCAAGCCAAAUUUGUAUGUUUUCGUUUGUGCAAAUUUCUGUACUUGAUUGUACUUGUUGUUGAGCCUUGAGCGAACAGUGGAGGUGUUGUCCGUUUGGCGUCUGUUCGACGUGCCUGAACCGACCAAAUAGGACCGGUUUUGGGGCGUGACAACACGAGUAACGUGGACUUGACUUAUAACGAAAGCUAAAUGAAUUGGGUUAGUUGGUAGUAUGUCUCUAAUAGUAAUUAGGGACUAAUCCAAGUUGUUAUUUGUUCUCAACUUAAGAGAUUAUGUUGGCGGUCGACAAUAUAAUAUUGAGAGAUGAGGACAAGUACAUUUUAUUGCUUUCGCCUGAUUUGGUUUGGUCAGGGUGUGUUGUUAUGAAGUGUAUGUAAUGCGAGUCGAGUACUAAUAUGGGUACUACGUUUUAGGAGACGAUGGCACCAACUCGAUGUCCGACAACAAGAUCCACUCUUGCAUCGCCUUCUGAGGUGCCCGAGCAGUCUGGAUCUGAUGAAGUGCGGGAGUUUCGUGCUCAUGUGGCUGCAAUAGUUAGAGCUAUGCAGCGUUAGGAGGAGCAAAUCGGGAGGCUCCAGGAGUUGGUGUCUCGGCAGGCGGCGGCGGCGGCGACUGCACCUGUGAGUCAGGAUCUGCCCGCUCCUGCAGUACUGGCUCCUACUGUAGCAGCGGCACCGGCCACGACACCUCCAGUUCCGGCGACUACUCCAAUGGCUUCUGGCUCUUCAGGUGUUGAUUCGGCCAUACUAGAGGCCGAGCAGGAGCGGUCAUUGGCGGUGUUGACUGCCUUCAAAUGGUUCCACCCUUCUACUUUCGACAGGGAGGUGGCGGACCCUUGGGUGAUGGAGGCAUGGCUUACGUCUAUGGAGGCAUUAUUUGAAGAUAUCUAUACCUUAGAGAAGGACAAGGUUCACUUGGCCGCACAUUGCUUUGAGAAGUCGGCUCAAGUGUAGUGGAGGCAAGUUUAGAAGAACUGGUCUUCAGAUCUUCCUCCAAUUACAUGGGAGGAAUUUUGGGGGUUGUAAUCAUGGAGUACAUCCCCGACAGUGAUAAAAGAAAGAUAAAGGAGGACUUUCGCAAGCUGAGGCAAGGAAGUCGCACCGUGUAGGAGUACGAGCGGGAUUUCUUGCAUUUGGUGAAUUGCGUUCCGGGUUUAAUUCAUGGUGACCGAGACCGUGCGGAGUGUUUUGAGCAGGGGUUGUGACCCGAGAUAUUCAAGAUGAUCCAUGCCCUCAAGUUGAAGACUUUUGAGGAGGUGUUAGAUCAUGCUCUUUGGGUGGAGCGAGAUAAUGCUAUCGCGCGGGAGGAGCGCGAGUCAUUUGAAAGUGAAAGGGACAAAGGCAAGAAGCAGGCGGCUAGUGGUUCCAGGAGUCAGUCAAGCUCUAAACGGCCCCCUCAGCAAUCACGAUCACAGUCGAGGAGUCGGGGAUCAUUUUGGUGUGUCAUCUGUGGUGGAGACCAUCGACCGACGAGUUGUCCACAGCGUGAGGGGAGGAGCUAUAAGUGUGGCCAGGCAGGACAUCUAAGUCGGGAGUGCCCGAGUGGAGCAUCGCCUACCCCAUUAGCUGCGUCGAUUCAGUCGACUCCGAGAUAGCUUGCGGGAUUGCACCCGCUAUGUCAGCUGGACGCCCACCUUUGCCGCGUCAACCAAAAGGAUCUCGAGCGGCACCGAGUUGUCAAGUUUUUGCUGCUCAAGUGGAGGAGCCUGCCGUAGUCGAUGAUGUAAUGGCAAGUAUUGUUUUAAUUAAUAGAUUAUGCCGACGGAUUUGCUUGUGUUGAGCCAUAUGAAAGGCUUCGACAUAAUCCUUGGGAUCGAUUGGCUCUCGAAAUAUUAUGCUACUGUUGAUUGUGAGAGAAAGGUAAUCACUUUUCGUGAACCCGGUCAAGAAAAGGUAGUCUACCGUGCGUGUAGAAGCUCGCUCUUUGCUAUGACGAUGUUGACGUCGAGAGCGACGAAGUUGAUUAAUAGUGGGUUUCCGGAUGCUUCCGGCGCUUGGAGAUAUUCCAGUAGUUCGUGAGUUUCCGGAUGUGUUCCCCACUUAGUUGUCGGGAUCGCCACCGGACCAAAAAAUUUUGUCAUUGACUUGAUUCUCGGGAUGGCGCCAAUUUCGAAGGCUCCGUAUAGAAUGGCACCGGCGGAAUUAAAGAAGUUAAAGGCCUAAUUGCAAGAUCUUCUCGACAAAGGCUUUGUGAAGCCUAGUGUGUCACCUUGGGGAGCUCCAAUGUUGUUUGUGAAAAAAAAGGACAGAACACUUCGGCUUUGUGUUGAUUAUCAUGAGCUGAAUAAGGUGAUGAUUAAGAAUAAGUACCCGUUGCCUCGGGUUGAUGAUUUAUUUGACCAAUUGCAAGGGUCUCGGGUAUAUUCAAAGAUUGAUCUUCAAUCGGGUUAUCACCAAUUGAAGAUCAAGCCGGAGGAUGUGCACAAAACGGCAUUUUGAACCCGUUAUGGUCACUAUGAGUUCACGGUGAUGCCGUUCGGCCUACAAAUUACUCUGCUGCAUUUAUGGACGUAAUGAAUUGGGUAUUCAAGCCGUUGUUGGAUCAGUGUGUCGUGGUGUUCAUUGACGACAUAUUAAUCUAUUCUCGGAGCGACGAGGAUCAUAAGGAGCAUUUGAGAAUUGUGAUGCAAAUUCUCCGAUAGAAAAAGCUCUAUGAGAAGUUGAAGAAGUGCGACUUUUGGCUUCGUGAGGUUACCUUCUUAGACCAUGUUAUUUUCGAGGGUGGUGUAUCCGUUGACCCGAGGAAAGUUGAGGCAAUUAAGGAUUGGCCUCGCCUGACAAACAUUGCGGAGAUCCAAAGUUUCCUUGGUCUUGCGAGUUACUAUCGGCGGUUUAUGGAGGGGUUUGCUAAAAUUACUACUCCACUAACGCGCCUCACGCAUAAAGGAGCGAGGUUUAUUUGGAGCGAGGAAUGCGAUUGAAGCUUUCAAGAGCUAAAGGAAAGAUUGACUUCAACUUCUGUACUCGCCUUGCCGAUUUUGGGGAAGAGUUUUGUAGUCUAUAGUGAUGCCUCCUAUAGCGGUCUUAGGUGUGUUCUUAUGCAAUGUGGGCGGGUUAUUGCUUAUGCUUCUCGCCAGUUGAAGAGCUAUGGGAAGAACUACCCUAUUCAUGACCUCGAGUUAGCCGCGGUGAUUUUCGCGUUGGAGUUGUGAAGGCACUCCUUGUAUGGUGAGCGAUGCGAGGUUUAUACCGAUCAUAAAAGCCUCGAGUAUUUAUUCACUCAAAAGGAGUUGAAUAUGCGGCAAUGCCGGUGGUUGAAAUUGUUAAAAGACUAUGAUGUUACUAUUCUAUACCACCCGAAAAAAGCAAAUGUAGUGGCCGACGCACUUAGUAGAAAGUCUGUGGAGAAUCUUGCCAUGGCUAUUACACAUCAACUGUCAUUGUGGAAUGAAAUGCGGCGGUUUGAUCUAGAGGUUGUUGCUGCGAAGGUUCCAGUUAUACUUGCUUUGCUAGUCGUGCAACCGACUUUGUUGGAGAGGAUUAAAGAUCGACAAGCUUUGGAUCCAUAUCUCCAAAAGGUGCGGCAUGAUAUUGAGAGCGGGCGCGCCGGUGAUUUUAGUGUGGGAUCCGAUGGCGCACUCCGGUUUCGGAACCGUUGGUGUGUGCCCAAGGACAAGGAGAUUCAAAAGGUUAUAUUGCAACAAGCGCACCAAUCUUCGUAUAGUGUGCAUCCAGGCGGUACCAAAAUGUACAAAGAUCUCAAAGUGCAUUAUUGGUGGCCGGGGAUGAAGAAAGACAUUGGAGAGUUCGUGGCGCAGUGUUUGAUGUGACAAUAGGUUAAGGCGGAACAACGAUUUUCAGCGAGCAAGUUGCAAAGCAUAUUUAUUCCCGUUUGGAAAUGGAAAGAUGUAGCGAUGGACUUUUUGGUUGGGUUACCCUGAUCCCAAGCCAAACAUGAUGCUAUAUGGGUAGUGGUGGAUCGAUUUACAAAAUCAGCACAUUUCUUGCCGAUUCACGCUACUUGGUUCGGGGAUAAGUUAGCACAAGUCUAUCUUGAUAAGAUGGUGAGAUUGCAUGGGGUUCCGACGUCUAUAGUAUCGGAUCGAGACCCUCGAUUCACAUAUCAUUUUUGGAAGAGUUUGCAAGAUGCUCUUGGCACACGGCUCGACUUUAGCACGGCAUUUCAUCCUCAAAGUGACGGACGGUCGGAGAGGACAAUUCAAAUUUUGGAGGUAUGCUUCGAGCGUGUGUACUUAAUUACAAAGGUGGUUGGCACAAUUAUUUGUUGAUGGCCGAGUUUGCAUACAACAAUAGUUAUCAAGAAAGUAUUGCGAUGGCACCAUUUGAGGCUCUCUACAGGAGGAAAUGUCAAUCCUCUAUUCAUUGGAGUGACGCGGGUGAGAGGAUCGCCCUUGGACCGGAUGUGCUGCGAGAGGCAGAGGAAAAAGUUCGCCUUGCUCGCCAAAGGCUAUUGACGACGCAGUCGCAGCAGCAGAGCUAUGCUAAUGUGCGCCGACGAAGUCUAGAGUUCGCAGUUGGAGAUCGCGUCUUCUUGAAGGUGUCUUCGAUGUGGGGUGUGAAGCGAUUCGGUGUUAGAGGAAAGGUUAGUCCUCGAUACAUUGGCCCCUAUGAGAUAUUGGAGAGAGUUGGUGUGGUGGCAUAUAAAUUAGUUUUACCGCCGAAGUUUGAAGGAAUCCAUAACGUGUUCCACGUCUCUAAUCUCUACAAGUAUAUGUAUAACUCUUCACACGUUCUUGAGUAUGAACCAGUGAAGUACAAGAGGAUAUGACGUAUGUAGAGUACCCAGUGCGCAUUUUGGCUCGCGAAGUGAGGGAGUUGCGGAAUCGCACAAUUCCUUACGUGAAAGUGCAAGGGAGCAACCAUGCCGAGCGUGAAGCCACUUGGGAAAUCGAGGAUGCGAUGCGGGAAUAUACCGAAUCUCCGAGUUACAAGGCUAACUUUGAUCGAAUUGAUCAAAGUGAGGCUUGAGCAUGAUGUGCGACGUCCCCGAGCUGUUUUGGAGGCGUGGGGAUAGUUAGAAGUGAGUUUCGGGGUUGAUGAAGUGUUUUCAAUGCAAACCGAGCGUGAAAACGAACCCUGGAGCAUUGCUGCUGUCAAAAGGGCCAAAGUGACACUAAGUAUCGGUACCAGAGCAAUGCAGUACCGGUACCCAGUCAGUGUGUGUUGGUUGCGUAGCUUUCCGGUUUGGAGGCUGUGUACUAGUACUGGAAGCUUUGCGUACCGAUACUCCAACCCGAGUAACGGUACCCAGCCUGAGAAGGAUUGAAUUGUAAUAGAGUAAAUUGGGAAAUGUAAAGGGUUUGAGUGCAAUUGUGGGGCUCCUAUAAAUACCCUAACCCUUACACCUAUUAUUUCCAUGCAUGAAAGUGAGCUUUGUUCUUACCUCCUCCUCAUCUCCUUCUUCUUCUCUCUCUAGAGAUUCAUCAUCAAGGUGGUACUUGAGAGAAAUUGAAGGUAGAAAUUAGUAGAUUUGGUGGAGAAGAAGCUCAAGGGCAAGGAGGAUUUCGUGAAGCAAGAACCCAAGGUAGGUUUCUUGCAUUUCUUGGUUAGGGUUUGAGUUAAAUAACCUAAAUUGUUAGGUUUUGUAGUCUCUAGGAUUUCUAGAGCUUGCUUAUGCAAUGAAAUCCUAGAAACUUAGACUAUGUUGGGUAUCUUAUAUGAACCCUGGAGUAAAAAUGGGGUUUUGUCAAAUAUAAGAUCUAACAUGGAUUUGAUCUUUUGUAGCCCUAAUUAAGGAGUAAAUCGACGCAUUGGGAGGCUCGGAUCGAAGUUUCAACGAGUCUACACCGAGUUAUUGAGAAAAAUCCUUAUUUUGGCUUCGUUUGUUGUGGGUCGAGAGGAGUGGUCGUCCAUAAAUCGCGGGAAGUGGUUUCUCGCACUCCGACAUCACUACAAGGUGGGUGGUGCUAUCCGAAGUCUUCGAAUGACCCGUUAUGUCUAGUCUCUUUCUUGAGCAUCUAUGUAUGUGUAUAGUGAAUUUUUACUAUUAAUUUUUAUAUUAUAAUAAAUUUUUUUAAUUCUAAUUUUUUAUUUCUUGAGCAUCUAUGUAUGUCUAUAAUAAAUUUUUUAAAUUCUAAUUUUUUAUUCAUAGGUUCUUUAAUUAUUUUAAACUAAAGUUAUUAAAUUAGAUAUUGAUUUUAAAAGAACUAAUCAUUGUUUAGAGUGUGCUCUUUAUAAGACGUAUGUAUACAUGUGGUGUAGGCAUAAUUUCUUGUGAAAGUGCCCACUUUUUAUGGAAAAAUUAUUGCCUCCAUUGGAUGUAUAUGUAGGGUUUUUUAGUGCAAUAGUUUUUUUCUAAAAUUUUAUUCUAAAAAUAAAUCUGUUAAAUUUUUAUUUAUAAAUAUGGUCCUAUGAAAGCAGUGAAUGGUUCACCGUUUUUAAAAGCGGUGAACCAUUCACCGCUUUCUUUCUUUUUCCCACUUCUUUCUAUAUUUCUACGAUGGUAAAAGCGGUGAAUGGUUCACCGCUUUUAUUAUUUUUCUACUCCUAAACAGGAAUUAUGAAUGCGGUGAAUCAUUCACCGCAUUUAAAGGUCUAUUUUUAUAAUUAUUAUUUUAAAAAAAUUAUUUUUACAAUUAUAAAAAUCGAUAGGAUUAUUUAUAAAAAAAAUUCGUAUAUGUACAUCGCAUAUACUUUAUCAUUAAAGUUUAUAAAAGAAAUCUUAAAAUUAAAAUUUAAUUUGUUAAAUAUGUCCAACAACAUUUGUAAGGCAUAUAUCUACAUAUAAAAAAUCAUAAAUUUUGAAUUUCGAUGUCUUAUAAAUUGAGUAAGGGCUCUUUCUCUACUAUUAAUUUUAUAACUGCUUAAUGCUUAGGAUAAGAUUUUUCAAAAUAGGUGAUCUUCUACUUUAUAGGUUCUUUAGAUUUUGUAUAUUACAUGCAUUAAAUUAAUAUUUUAGUUUAAAAAAUUAAUCAUCAAAUACAGUAUGUGGUGUAUGGAACAAAUGCAUACAUCCGAUGCAAGGAAUAAGUUUUUUUAGGACCAAGUGGAUGUUUGUACUUGGCACGGAAUCGUUCCACCAAAUCCACCCAUCCACCCUUCUGCGUUGUGUGUAUAGUUCUAGUCAGCGCACUACGAUUAAGUUGAAGAAAAUAUAGAAAUAUUAAGUUAUAUAUAUUUUUUUAAUUUUAAAUAAAUAUUUUUAGAGUAUCAUAAUACUAUUUAUUAAUAUUUAGCUGUUAUAUUAAUUUUUUAUUGAUUGCAACCAACAACCAAAAUUUAAUUUUAAAUAUAUAUUUAAAUUUUAAUCUUAUUUAAUUUUAAAAUUUUACUUCAUCUUAAAUUCUUAGUUGAAAUUUAAUGAUACUCUAAAACUUUAAUUUGUCUUUAAAUAAGGUUUAUUUAUUUUCAAUUUUGUUAUAAUGUAAAUAUUUUUCAUAUGUGUUUCACAAUAUAUAAUUGUUUUUAAUGUGUACCCAAAAUUUAGAACCAAAAUUUAGAAUUUAAAUUAAGUCUAAAAUUAAACAAUAUAGGUACACAAUAUUUUUUUAUGUACUUCAUUAUAUAAAAAAAAAAUUUUAAUAUGUACCCAAUGUCACACCCCGGAUUACACGUUCCCCGGGCACACCGACAAAUCCGCCGUACACAAUUCUGUAUACGAAGCGUAGCUGUACCUGUAAAACAUACAAUACUAUAACCAGUAGUAUAGAGCUGCUAGGAAACAAAACAUAAUCAGUAGAAAAAAACAGUUCACUAUACAUACAACGUCCAGUAUACAAAAACUCGCCCAGCGAGAUACAGUAAAAGUAUGUAUAUGAACUCAAAAACUAUACUACCUGCAGCGGGUAAUCCUCUAGCUCGGCGACUCGUCGGGUAGGGCUCUAGCUCCCAACGCCCUUGUCACGAUCUGCCUCAGAAGAUGCAGCAGCCGGAACUGAAGGCUCUGCAAAAGAAGAGUAACAACUGGGCGUGAGAACUACUGUAAACACAAGUAGUCCUCAGUGGGUACCGCACAAAACAACAUCGGUCCACCCACUAAGUCUACAGAAGGAAGCAAGGAUAGUAGGAAAAGCUGAAAGACAUCUACAGUUAAAUACCACUACAAUAUCAUGCUUUACAUUAACCAACUAUAGUAAAAGUAAAUCCUGACCCAAUCACACUAGGGACUGUAAGCAUACACGUCCUUGGGACUGUGAACACAUCCGUCCCGUCCGGUUGUGACUAUACAGCUACCUCCACACUAAGCAGUCAGUGGAGAGCGAGUCCAACCUGCACGAACGACACCAACGCAAAAGUAUAGCGCCCGUCUCCGGAUUGGCACUCGUAGGAGUUACCCAACCGAGUAUGCAAGCGUAUCUCUGUCGAGCUCAAUCGGGCUCUCAAAGGCUAAAGUCAAGCACAUAGGGUCCAACUGGUCUAACCACCAACAAGUCACGUGCUCUCGGCAUAAUCUGAUGCCAAAACAGCAAUCUGAGUCCACCGUCAACCCCGACGUCACCCAAUAGUCUGGAACAGUCUAAACGCUACUGUAAAAAAAAUAUACUCGGUAUUCGAGCACGAGCGUAACAAAAAUCUAAACUACCUGGGGUAUCCACCACGCUGAUACUGUGGCGAUACAAAAUAACAACGGCUCCUAGAGCUAAAUCAAGUACUUAAAGCAUAUGACAGGUUGUAUUCGCGGGUUUCCUUCUAAGUCAAAUCCAAGUCCAACAUGUGCAAGUAUAAAUAUAAUCCAAGGCUAAACUCCAAUUCAGAUUUUAUAAAUGCAUACGUUAAAUCCAUGAAUCGAGCAAAUUCAAAAUGCAAAACAACACGACUAACACAUGCCGACUAUAUAUAUAUGUACUCAAAAGGUAAACUGACGAUUAACCCACCUCGAACGCUAAUCCAAUAACGGCGAGAAGUCGAUAGGAGAAGAAAUCCCGUGCUCGCCCGGCCUCCAACGGCGCUACCACAACGCACGUAGGCUCAAACGGCUCGCCGGCGCGAAGUCGACGUCAAUCCGAACCCCAACCGAAGUCUCCACCCUACUCACGUUCAAAGUCUAGAGAGAUGAAUACGAGAUAAUUAAUUAUCUCUCUACAGGUGGUAACUAUAUAUAUUGGUUGAGUUGGUGGGGUGGAUAACCACCAACAAAAAUUACAGUAAUAACCCCCACCAACUCAACCAAGGGUAUUACAUCCUCCCCCACUACAAAAAGUUUCGUCCUCGAAACUUAAAACAUACCUCAACUCUGGGCAUCAAAUAGGUAGGGAUAGGACUCCCUCAUUAUCGUCUCGGGCUUCCAAGUCGCCUCUCACUCCUCGUGAUUACUCCACUGCACCUUUACAUAAGGAAUGACCCGGUUGCGCUGUUCCUUCGUCUCACGAGCAAGAAUCCGCACCAGUCAUUCCUCAUAUCUCAAGUCCUCGCCAAGCUCGAGCGGAGUGAAGUCGAUCACGUGCGAGGGAUCAAACACUUACCUCCUCAAAGCCGAGACGUGGAAAACAUCAUGAAUACCGGCCAGUCGUGGUGGUAAGGCAAACCUGUAGGCAACUAGUCCAACUCGCUCCAAUACCUCAAAAGGGCCUACACGACUGGCACGCCCCGUGCCCCGCCUAUUUGGUCGGGUUCGGGCACGCCGACAGCGCUGAACGGAUAGGGUUUCCCCUGUACUGCGGACAGAGUCUCCCCUGUACGUUUUAGGCGUCGCAAUCAAUACAAUGUACAAAGUUCCAGCCAGGAACUCAUUUCAAUCGAGAUUGUAUAAGGAAAUAUCAAAAACAUAAAACUACUUGCUAUUACAAGCAUUCACAUUCAUACAUUUUAACUCUCAAUUCGAUUUGCCUUCAACCAAAUGCAAUCUAAGUUAUUACAUCAUUUAUUUACAAACUUGUUACAAUUUUAUUUCAUUGUCUUCUAGUCCCCUAAGCUAGACUACCUCAGGGUACUGCUACCUCAGGUCUCGAUGGUAGGGUGCUAUCUAUGGAGCUACGCCCUUUCCUCGUUCCGCCGCGCCGCUCACGUGCGAACCUGUAACACCCCAAAGCAACGUGGGGUGAGAACCAACUUCAUAGUUCCCAGUGGAUACGGCCACCCAAGGAAAAUGCUCGACCAACAGGUCCAAAGGAGGCAAACAGCAAGUUAGUUUAAUAAACAGAUAUAUAUAACAUCUAAAUUAUGCAACUAACAAUACCAUACUUUGCCUCACGAAUGCAAUAAUGCCAUGCUACAUGCGAGUCAUACAAUGAUGCAACAUCAUAAGUAGAUUUACCAAUUCUGCUUCUAUCUUGCUAUCUAGCUCAUAUCCAACUAGCUUCUAAGGUUUCUACUACCUUAGAUUCACAAUUCGAGUUCAACUUGCUUAUAAGGUCUCUAUUACCUUAUCUCUUGCCUCUAUCACUAGCUUAUAAGGUUUCUAUUACCUCAACCAAGUUAUCCACUCGGCCUCGAGUCAAUCAUCCGCGGACUACAGCGUACUGGCUGCUCAACAGCCUACCGCCCUCCGUGACUUAGCCCCAUAGCGGUGAAAUCAUCGCACACGCUGAACAGACUCAAGUCACCCGGCGGCCUGAUCCACAAGUGGCUUAACCAUCUGGCGGCGAAAUCGUCGCACACGCCCAACAAUGGUUCAAGCCUCCGGGUGGCGAACUCUGCACACACACCCAAUCCUCCUUGGUAUCAAUCUCGGCGGCAAAAUCGUCGCACACGCCCUAGCCUUGAUACUGAGGUCAUCACAAGUUCUGGGAUUCCGGAAUCCACUUUCACGUCUCAAGGGUCCAUAUCCAACCCUAUGCUGUCGACCUAUCUAGGUUCGACCCAAAACAUCCUAGUGGCUGCUACUACUAUGCUCAACAACCUAGGUUCAAUGUCACUCUAGGUUUACUACAUAUCCUAACCUAGGUUCCAACACUCUAGAUUCUAUAUCAUUCAUGUCCGACCUAUGUUUAUUAACACUGGGUUCAAGGUUAUUCCUGUUCAACCUAUGUUCACGACACUAGGUUGGAUGCCACUCACCUAGAUCCACUUAACUCUAGGUUCAUUCACAACCUAUAUUCUUUAGCACUAGGUUAGAUGCCACUCGAUCUACCUGACAUCCUAUUUGUCCACAUCGAGUUUCAUAGCCUUGCCUGUUCACAGUGCUAACAUGCAUCUCAUCCAACAUAACAACUAUAUGUUAAUAUGCAUGCUCUCUAUCAUGAUCUCAUGAUGCUAAUAUGCACCUAGCAUAUAAUCCACAAUGCAAAUAUUCUACGAGAGGUUACCAUGCAUUUCACUUUGUUUCUCUACAUUAUGUCCCAAUGCAUUUAUCAUCUUAGCAUAUUCUAUUUACAUGCUUUAACACAUUCACGAUGCCAUUAUGUAUUUUAUCCAAUAUGAUCUCAUAAUGCUAAAUGCACCUUGCAUUUAUCCCACUAUGCAUAUAUACUAACAUACAAUCAUGCAUUUCAUUAAGCAUUUCUAAUCUAUGUCGUUAUGCAUUAUCCUCUAGCAUGUAUUUUCAAUGCAUCUAUAUGCAAGUAUCACUAGCAUAACUCUCACAAUACCAACAUGCUUAUACAUAUGCGUCAACAAGAACUCAUAGUCCACUUUGACAUGCAGGCGACCUAGUCGCUUCGGUAAGCACAGCCCACCUGUUAUCGCAUUCCGAUUGCUUGUAGUCACUUGCAAUCGGCCGCCCGCGGCACCCGCUAUCUGACUCGGCCCGAACUCGCAAUUGCGCACCAACUGUGCGCCGCUUCGUAGCCCUGAAAAUUAUAAGUCUUCGGUUAUGUGCUACAAUGCUCGGGAUCUAAUUUCAUAAUUUUCGAACGUCGCCUCGGCCCUCAAGGCGAAAACGAAGCUCCGAACGUCGGUUUUUCCUAUUACUUCGCGUAGGCUCAACGAACCGCCGAACCGACUUCGCCAACGCGUUCGUGUACCUAGCAAUUAGGUUUCUAUAGGGUUAAUUUAGAUCAAACCCCUACAUUAACAAAACCCCCUUUCUAGCCCUAGCAUGCCAUAAUCUCUAAUUAGCCCAAAAUCCCAUAGAGAAAACAUGCUAGAAACACUUUAGAGUCCAUUAGAACACUAAGCAUAAAGGAUUUAACCAAAUCCCAAAUACUUACUAAAUUGCGAACGCUGAGACGGAAGCAUGCCGCUCAAACGGGCGCACGAGGGCUCGAGUCGUCGCCUCCCACGCGUUCACGAACUCCUUCUCCUCCAAGAUCCAAACUUUUAGAGAGAGAUAUAGAGGGAGGAGAGAGAUAUCUAGAGAGAGGAGAAGGUCUCUCUCUCUACAUUGUGUGUGGGUGUGUGUGUGUGUGUUUGCUGUGAAGAAUGAGAAGAAGAGGUUGAGACCUCUUUAUAAAGCAAUCCCCCCACAAUUACAAUCAGCCCCCUGCUAUUUUUGGGCAAUUUUCGGGCUGAGGGUCCGGACCUUGAAGCUAGGGUCCGGAUCCUGUAAGUCUAGAAAUUCAACCUUUUCCAGACUUAGCCAAAAUUUCAGCCUUUUCGUCAAUUUUGGUCCAUUUUCGCUCGUUUUUGCUCCAUGAGUCUCCGAUUUGUUUCAAAUCGAACCGAGACUCUCAAAACAUGUUUUCGAGCAUGUUUUCAUCGUCUUUUCAUCCACACUAAUGUUGGAUUUAGUUCAUGAUCCAACAUAGCCUUUCGGAUCCUGUUUUCGCGCUUACGCGCUCUGAAAAUGCCCGAAUGCUUCCGAACUUCACCGGAACCUCACCGAAACCAUUCAAAUGGCUUUCCAACCAAAUGUACACCGUAAUUUCAUAAUUUUAGAAGUCCGGUACCUUACAGUAGGAAAGCUGGAAGACAUCUACAGUUAAAUACCACUACAAUAUCAUGCUUUACACUAACCAACUGUAGUAAAAAUCAAUCCUGACCCAAUCUCACUAGGGACUAUAAGCAUACCUGUCCCUGGGACUGUGAACACACCCGUUCCGCCCAAUUGCGACUAUACAGCUACCUCCACACUAAGCAGUCAGUGGAGAGCGAGUCCAACCUGCACGAACGACACCAACAAAAAGGCACAGUGCCCGUCUCCGGAGUGGCACUUAUGGGAGCUACCCAACCGAGUAUACAAGCGUAUCUCUAUCGAGCUCAAUCAGGCUCUCACAGGCUAAAGUCAAGUACAUAGGGUCCAACUGGUCUAAUCACCAACAAGUCGCGUGCCCUCAGCACAAUCUGAUACCAAAACAGCAAUCUGGGUCCACCGUCAACCUCGACGACACCCAACAGUUUGGAACAGUCUGAACGCUACUAUAAAAAAUUAUGCUCGGCAUUCCAGCACAAGCGUAAGAGAAAUCUAAACUAUCUGGGGUAUCCACCAUGCUGAUACUGCGGCGAUACAAAAUAACAACGGCUCCUAAAGCUAAAUCAGGUAGUUAAAGCAUAUGACAGGUUGUAUUCGCAGAUUUCCUCCUAAGUCAAAUCCAAUUCCAACAUGUGCAAGUAUAAAUAUAAUCCAAGGCUAAGCUCCAAUUCAGAUUUUAUAAAUGCAUACGUUAAAUCCAUGAAUCGAGCAAAUUCAAAAUGCAAAACAACACGACUAACACAUGCCGACUAUAUAUAUAUAUAUAUAUAUAUAUACUGACGAUUAACCCACCUCGAACGCUAAUCCAAUAACGGCGAGAAGUCGAUAGGAGAAGAAAUCCCGUGCUCGCCCGGCCUCCAACGGCGCUACCACAACGCACGUAGGCUCAAACAGCUCGCCGGCGCGAAGUCGACGUCGAUCUGAACCCCAACCGAAGUCUCCACCCUACUCACGUUCAAAGUCUAGAGAGAUGAAUACGAGAUAAUUAAUUAUCUCUCUACAGGUGGUAACUAUAUAUAUUGGUUGAGUUGGUGGGGUGGAUAACCACCAACAAAAAUUACAGUAAUAACCCCCACCAACUCAACCAAGGGUAUUACAUCCUCCCCCACUACAAAAAGUUUCGUCCUCGAAACUUAAAACAUACCUCAACUCUGGGCAUCAAAUAGGUAGGGAUAGGACUCCCUCAUUAUCGUCUCGGGCUUCCAAGUCGCCUCUCACUCCUCGUGAUUACUCCACUGCACCUUUACAUAAGGAAUGACCCGGUUGCGCUGUUCCUUCGUCUCACGAGCAAGAAUCCGCACCAGUCAUUCCUCAUAUCUCAAGUCCUCGCCAAGCUCGAGCGGAGUGAAGUCGAUCACGUGCGAGGGAUCAAACACUUACCUCCUCAAAGCCGAGACGUGGAAAACAUCAUGAAUACCGGCCAGUUGUGGUGGUAAGGAAAACCUGUAGGCAACUAGUCCAACUCGCUCCAAUACCUCAAAAGGGCCUACACGACUGGCACGCCCCGUGCCCCGCCUAUUUGGUCGGGUUCGGGCACGCCGACAGCGCUGAACGGAUAGGGUUUCCCCUGUACUGCGGACAGAGUCUCCCCUGUACAUUUUAGGCGUCGCAAUCAAUACAAUGUACAAAGUUCCAGCCAGGAACUCAUUUCAAUCAAGAUUGUAUAAGGAAAUAUCAAAAACAUAAAACUACUUGCUAUUACAAGCAUUCACAUUCAUACAUUUUAACUCUCAAUUCGAUUUGCCUUCAACCAAAUGCAAUCUAAGUUAUUACAUCAUUUAUUUACAAACUUGUUACAAUUUUAUUUCAUUGUCUUCUAGUCCCCUAAGCUAGACUACCUCAGGGUACUGCUACCUCAGGUCUCGAUGGUAGGGUGCUAUCUAUGGAGCUACGCCCUUUCCUCGUUCCGCCGCGCCGCUCACGUGCGAACCUGUAACACCCCAAAGCAACGUGGGGUGAGAACCAACUUCAUAGUUCCCAGUGGAUACGGCCACCCAAGGAAAAUGCUCGACCAACAGGUCCAAAGGAGGCAAACAGCAAGUUAGUUUAAUAAACAGAUAUAUAUAACAUCUAAAUUAUGCAACUAACAAUACCAUACUUUGCCUCACGAAUGCAAUAAUGCCAUGCUACAUGCGAGUCAUACAAUGAUGCAACAUCAUAAGUAGAUUUACCAAUUCUGCUUCUAUCUUGCUAUCUAGCUCAUAUCCAACUAGCUUCUAAGGUUUCUACUACCUUAGAUUCACAAUUCGAGUUCAACUUGCUUAUAAGGUCUCUAUUACCUUAUCUCUUGCCUCUAUCACUAGCUUAUAAGGUUUCUAUUACCUCAACCAAGUUAUCCACUCGGCCUCGAGUCAAUCAUCCGCGGACUACAGCGUACUGGCUGCUCAACAGCCUACCGCCCUCCGUGACUUAGCCCCAUAGCGGUGAAAUCAUCGCACACGCUGAACAGACUCAAGUCACCCGGCGGCCUGAUCCACAAGUGGCUUAACCAUCUGGCGGCGAAAUCGUCGCACACGCCCAACAAUGGUUCAAGCCUCCGGGUGGCGAACUCUGCACACACACCCAAUCCUCCUUGGUAUCAAUCUCGGCGGCAAAAUCGUCGCACACGCCCUAGCCUUGAUACUGAGGUCAUCACAAGUUCUGGGAUUCCGGAAUCCACUUUCACGUCUCAAGGGUCCAUAUCCAACCCUAUGCUGUCGACCUAUCUAGGUUCGACCCAAAACAUCCUAGUGGCUGCUACUACUAUGCUCAACAACCUAGGUUCAAUGUCACUCUAGGUUUACUACAUAUCCUAACCUAGGUUCCAACACUCUAGAUUCUAUAUCAUUCAUGUNCACACACUAAGAAGGUAAACCGACGAUUAACCCACCUCGAACGCUAAUCCAACAACGGCGAGAUGUCGAUAGGAGAAGAAAUCCCGUGCUCGCCUGGCCUCCAACAGCGCUACCACAACGCACGUAGGCUCAAACAGCUCGCCGGCGCGAAGUCGACGUCGAUCUGAACCCCAACCGAAGUCUCCACCCUACUCACGUUCAAAGUCUAGAGAGAUGAAUACGAGAUAAUUAAUUAUCUCUCUACAGGUGGAUAACUAUAUAUAUUGGUUGAGUUGGUGGGAUGGAUAACCACCAACAAAAAUUACAGUAAUACCCCCCACCAACUCAACUAAGGGUAUUACACCCAAAAUUUAAAAAUUUGAAAUAAAUAUUACCGGAUAAUAUUGAGUCAAUCUAAAAAUAUUGAAUUAAAAAGAAAGAUAUGAAAUAAUAUAGAAUAUUUAAUAAAGAAUAAGGAAAGGAAAGGUUAUCACUAAGAAAAAGAGGAAUUUAAAACUUGUUUGGUUACAUUAUUUGUUUUACAGAAAAUGCUUCUUUUACACCCAAAAAGGGUAUACAUCUUACACCCGCAAUCCUAGGGCAUGUUUCCGAAUCCGUUUGUGGGUGUUUGGUACGCGUGAGUUCCAUUCCGAUUCUGAUUUUCGAGUGGAAUGGGAAUCCCUCAAUCACCUCUUUUUUCAAUCCGACCUAGGAUGCCGGAUUAGAAGUUGAAUCCGGACGGAAUGGAUAUUUAUUCGGAUUAAAUUUAUUUUUUCAACUUUUUUAAUUAAAAUAUGAGUUUAAAUUUAGAAAUUAAAUAUAUAAUUUUAAAUUUUAAUUUGAACUUGAAUUAAAAAUUAAAAUUUAAUCAAAUAUUUCGAAUCUAACUUAUGAAUUUGAAUUUUAACUUAAAAUUUAAGUUAUAUAAAGUUUUAUUCAAAUUUUAUUUAAAACUUAAAUUAAAUUUAUGGAUUCAAAUUAAAAUUUAAAUUGUAAUUUUAAGUUUGAAUUUGAAUAAAAUGAAAUUUAGUUUUAUAUUUUGAAUUAUCCACUCAAAUUCAAAGUUUAAUUUUAAAAAAAAUAGAUUUAAAAUUUUGACAUUAUUUCAAAAUUUUGAUAUAAAUUUUUGGGGCAAUUGCCUAUAUACCCCUGAAAAGUUUUCAAUUUUCUUAUUUACCCCUCUUAGAAAGCUAUUAAGUUCCAUCAGUUACCUGUCGUUAUCUCUGAAAAAUUACCAUUUUGCCCAUUCCAAUAUACCCUUGUACGGUAACUAACUUAUUUUAUAUACCCUUCAUAUAGCAAAUAUUUUUCUUAUUUGUCCUUCAAAUAUCAAUUAAUUAAUUAAGCAUGUCGGGAGCGAGCAGAUGAACGGAUGAGAUCGAUCACAGCUAAACCAACCUUAGUGGCUAGAGGCAUAGUUAGUUAAUUCGGAUUCGGCAAAAAUUCGGUACAUAUAUAAUUCGAAUAAAAUUCGUCUUUUAAUUUUUAAAUUUGAUGAAAAAUACAGCUAAAAAAGGGAUUCGACAAUUAUUCAGAUACGUGAUUUAUACGGGUAUUAUACGUUCACCAAUUAAAAAUUUGGGAUUAAAAAUUCGGCUAUAUAAUAAAUAUAUAAUAAUUAAUAUACUAUAUAUAUUAUUAUUAUAAAUUUUAUAUAUAGAUUAAAUAUAUUUAAAAUUAUAAUAAACAUAUAUUAAUAAUGGCCUCGUGGACCGCGCACACACGUGGACCUCCCUCUCAUCCGGUCUGCGAGGCCAAAUUGGCCUCGUGGACCGCGUACACCUGUAGCUCCCCUCCGCGUGCGACACCUGUCACGCCCGGGACCCAGCGGAAGCCCGCCCGGCGCGUGCCCAGACCCGCCAUACGUCUAAAACAUAUAAGGCGUCUAGAAACAACAAUAAANUAUAUAUAUAAUGAGAGGGAGGUCCACUGUGGACCUCCCUCUCAUCCGGUCCAUGAGGCCAAACUCGCCUCGUGGACCGUGCACACCCACUGCUCCGCCCUGCCGCACGAGGACAAGGACGAAGGCGACCACUCGACAACGAGCACGAUGGCGCCGCCCUGCCGCACGGUGCGCUCCAUCUCGACGGUAAACCUCGUGGGGAAGAGCGCAUCGGCGAGGCCAGGGGUAAAGGCGAGGUCGAAGAUGCCGUCGAACAAGGGGAGAUUGUGGGGGUAGGCGCGGCUGACGAGUGAGAGGAAAUCGAGAAGGUCGACGCCGGUGACGUCGGCAACGCCGGAAUCGCGGAGGGCGGCGACCGACUGGCCGGCGCCGGCGGAGACACAGAGGACGCAGGAGGAGUUGGAGAGAAGGCGGAGGGUGCGGAGGGGGGAGAACACAGCGGCGGAGAGGGAGGCGGCGUGGCGAGAUUGUCGGUGCAGCCCUCUUGCUCUCAGCGCCGGCCAUGGUGGCGGAGGAGGACGACGACGGGACGGAUGAAUUUGGCCGGAGAGAAAGUGAGAAUAAGUUAAGGAAAUAGUUUAAUAAGGUACGGGCAAAAUAGGUAUUUUAAUUUGGUUUUAACUCUGGUAUACAUUUAACCCAUGUUUAACCCGAGUUAGUUUAACAGGGACUAACUGCAGGGGUAUUUUGGAAUAACGGUGGAACAUAUGAUGGGCAUUUUAGAAAGAAAAAAAAAAGUAGGGGUAUAUCGGAUAUUUCCAGACGCAUGAGGGGUAUAUAAACAAUUAUCCCUAAAUUUUUAAUAUUUAAAUUUUACUUUGCAUUUUAAAUUAAUAUAUUAUAAAGAUAAAGUUAGUAUAUUAAUUUGAUUACGUUUUUUAUAUCUACCUGAACCAAAUACGGACAAUGAGAAUGAUUUGUUACGAUUUCGAUUCAGGUGAUGAACCAAACAGAAUUAGGUAAUGAGUUAUUCUGAUUUUGAUUCCAGCUUAUUUCGAUUCCGAUUCUGAUUCCGAUUCUGACUUCGAACCAAACACGCCCCUAGAGUUGAUAAAAAAUCGAAUUGGUUUUUGCGCAUCCCACUUUAGGGUGUAUUUAUAGCAUUGCUCUUAUUUUACAUGAGACAAAAAAGAAACCAUUUUUUUUUUCUGCCAAAAUAUGAGUCCAUCGAUAGAUCCAAAUUCAAAAUACGUGUUUUUAUAUGUAGUAUGAUAAAUAUAUAUAGAAUUUGGUUGGGAUAUUUCUAAUAGCGCCAACCCCUUUGAUCAAUUCCACCUCUUAAAUCAUUCUAUUCUACCAACACCUGCUAAAUCCUAGGGACACCUAUAUUUAUAAAAUUUUUAUUAUCUAGAUUUUAGGUUAGCCCAACCAUAAAGAAACUUAUAUUUUAUGAAUUUUAGUUAUUAGAUUAAGAUUCUACUUUUAUAAUUUUCUUUCAACUUUUAAUGUUAUAUUAUGACUAACAAUUUAACUUAUUGCUCAUGAACCAACUCGUAUUCGGCUCGUUUUUUGAAUG
This 42178-nucleotide long non-coding RNA is filed under the name Ananas comosus (pineapple). Its description in RNAcentral is "long non-coding RNA (ACOM_LNC010391)". The record is from RNAcentral. Lineage: Eukaryota; Viridiplantae; Streptophyta; Magnoliopsida; Poales; Bromeliaceae.